RNAcentral lists this ribosomal RNA (253 nucleotides) under uncultured bacterium. RNAcentral describes it as "partial 16S ribosomal RNA". It matches the Rfam family "Bacterial small subunit ribosomal RNA", at positions 524 to 776 of the family's 1533-position model. The record is from RNAcentral.
UACGUAGGGUGCGAGCGUUAAUCGGAAUUACUGGGCGUAAAGCGUGCGCAGGCGGCGCGUUAAGACAGGUGUGAAAGCCCCGAGCUUAACUUGGGAAUUGCGCUUGUGACUGGCGUGCUGGAGUGUGGCAGAGGGAGGUGGAAUUCCACGUGUAGCAGUGAAAUGCGUAGAGAUGUGGAGGAACACCGAUGGCGAAGGCAGCCUUCUGGGCCAAUACUGACGCUCAUGCACGAAAGCGUGGGGAGCAAACAGG